GAUGAACGCUGGCGGCGUGCCUAAUACAUGCAAGUAGAACGCUGAAGCUUGGUGCUUGCACCGAGCGGAGGAGUUGCGAACGGGUGAGUAACGCGUAGGUAACCUGCCUCUUAGCGGGGGAUAACUAUUGGAAACGAUAGCUAAUACCGCAUAAAAGUCGACAUUGCAUGAUGUUGACUUGAAAGGUGCAAAUGCAUCACUAAGAGAUGGACCUGCGUUGUAUUAGCUAGUUGGUGAGGUAACGGCUCACCAAGGCGACGAUACAUAGCCGACCUGAGAGGGUGAUCGGCCACACUGGGACUGAGACACGGCCCAGACUCCUACGGGAGGCAGCAGUAGGGAAUCUUCGGCAAUGGACGGAAGUCUGACCGAGCAACGCCGCGUGAGUGAAGAAGGUUUUCGGAUCGUAAAGCUCUGUUGUAAGAGAAGAACGAGUGUGAGAGUGGAAAGUUCACACUGUGACGGUAACUUACCAGAAAGGGACGGCUAACUACGUGC
This 498-nucleotide ribosomal RNA is filed under the name uncultured Streptococcus sp. RNAcentral describes it as "bacterial SSU rRNA". It matches the Rfam family "Bacterial small subunit ribosomal RNA", at positions 28 to 508 of the family's 1533-position model. Lineage: Bacteria; Bacillati; Bacillota; Bacilli; Lactobacillales; Streptococcaceae. The record is from RNAcentral.